AUGUUUUGUUAUUGUACAUGAGUCAUGUGGGGGAAGGGGUUUGUCCCGACCCUAGUUAUGUCAUGUAUAUCCUAGAGGCUUUGUAGACAUAAGGAAGGGUAAAGUCAUGGAAGUUUAUAUAGUGAUGUUAUAUCUGUAUAUGUGGUGGCCCCGACGGCCAAGUAUUAUAUAUAUAUAUAUAUAUAUAUUUGCGCGUGUUGUGCUGAUACAGGUAAUUAGACCUUUCUAUAUGCAACGAAGUGCUGUCCAA
Molecule: long non-coding RNA, 250 nt
Filed under: Capsicum annuum
Lineage: Eukaryota; Viridiplantae; Streptophyta; Magnoliopsida; Solanales; Solanaceae
Description: long non-coding RNA (CANN_LNC010172)
Source: RNAcentral